UCUUAUUUGAAAUUCAAACCAGAAGGAAGUCACCUCCGCAAAUGCCAAGUGUCCAGCCUCCACUUCCAUGAUGAUUCAGCACCACCUAGGGGCCAUUGUCAUUCAUUUCUUGCCAGGCUCAUUUCUUGCCAUAUUCAUUUAUUGCCACAAUAGAAUUCCUUUUUAAGUAUUGCAGCUGCACCCGCCACCGCCCCCUCGCCACUGCCAUCCACAUAAGAAAAGUACAGAAGCUUCUCUACACACAUUUUUCAAGACUCGGUUCCAGAUCUACUUCAGCUGGAAACUCUGGUCCACUAGCUUAGCACACAAGGAUCACUGCUGAGGAGUGUGGUUCACAUUUACAAUACACCACGGGGACUUCGCUUUAUUAUUAUAAGAACUGCUAUAAGCAUCUACUACAUGACAAGGCAUAUAUAGUUAUUUCUAAUGUAUACAAUAGUCCUUCAAAUUGGGUAGUAAUCCAUUUUACAGAUGAAGAAACUAAGGCUCUGAGAAGUUAAGCAAUUUAUCCAGAUCCCAAACCAGGGUUGACUUACUCUUUUCACUGUAAAACGCUGUCUCUCUAAUCUUACUGUGCGUAGAGCCAACAUGGCAGUGAGGGUGCUCAUUUUAAUGAUUCUAAAGCAGAACAUUCAAAUAAAUCUUGUCCUUCAAAGAAGUCACUUUGAAGCCUAUUCUGUCAUGCCAAUAGCUAAUGCUCAUAACAAUUGAGUCUCUGCUAUAGGAACUGCCUUCAGAGCUAUUUGUGAGCUGCACGACCUAAUCUCAUUACCUUAAAGUAUGUUAUAUGUUUGAAAAAAAUAUGGUAGAUACCAUUGGAGGACUGAAGGAUGUGCCAUCCCAAAAUUUGUAUGUUGAUUAUUUCUAAUGGAAAACAAUGGAGAAAUUCUAGUUUCAGAAAGGAAGAGCUGAUCUAUAUCUUCCUGUAUGGAGCAAGGGAUAAAGAAUCCUCUGGGACGGAUACUCUUCGAAGGCCCUGAGAUUUAUCCAUACCAGGAUGAGAAAAUAGCCCUUAUCACCAGAGACUUGGAGGCUGCAAGGAACCCGAAUAAACAAACUUACGAACAAAAUAACCUUUAUCUUCCACUUGCUUUACACCCCCUCAUAUAUCUCCUGUGACUCCCCUAGAAAAUUUUACUGUCCUAGCCAGAUUUUCUUUCUCCUGUUGUUUCUUCUCAAAUUUAUCAUUCUUUGUCUAAAAAGUAUAAGAAUAUCUUACUUUGGCCUCUUGUUCAGACUUCACUUUCUUGUGAAGAUCCCCAAGUACAUGUAAAACUAGUAAAAUUUAUACAUUUUUCUCUUGUUAAUCUGCCUGCUGUCAAUUUAGCUUCUACAUCCAGCUGACCAGCCCACUAAGAGCUAACAGAAGGGUUGAAGUUGAUCUCUGGUUCCCCGGUACCAUGCUGUUCAAGCAGUGUAAUCUCCCAGGUCCCUCCUCAGUAAAUUUCGAUUCAGUAUCACUGGGACAGGCCCAACAGUUUGUGGUUUUGUCAAGUACAUGUGACUGUAAUCACCAGGAAAGCUUGAGUAACACUGGUGCGAUGAUACAAGCAUGAGCUCUGGGGUCAGAAGGACUUGGGUGCAGAUCUGGCUCUGCCUUUUUUCUAGUUGUGCACCCCUAGGAAAGGCAAUUAAGGCCUUGAGUAUCAGUUUAUUCAUCUAUAAAAUGAAUAUUAGUAAUCAUUAAUAACCACCAAACAGGGGUGUGAAGACUGAAUGAUAUAAUGGGUGUGAAAUGCUAGCACAGUGCCUGGCACAUAGUAGGCACUUAAUACAUGGUCAUUACUAUUGUUAACUUAAUCACCCACUCAGCUUAAUGAAUUUGCCCUAUGUGACUUUUUGUUAUUUCUAAAAAUUAAAUCCACAGUGAAAGGAUAUGAGGAUACAUAAAAUACACUAUCAUAACGUAUAUUAUACUUCAUUAAAAAGUAAACAACUAAAGAUCCUUAGGAAAAGUGAUAGAUGAUAGAUAGCCAGAUAGGUAAAUUUUAGGAUAGGAAAAUGUUCUAGAAAUGAAAAACCAAACAUUUAAAACAGUUUAACACUCAGGAGAAUAACAAGUUUCUAGAAAUACACACACACACACACACACACACACACACACACACACACACACACACACUGAUACAAAAGGUAGAAACAAUCCAAGGGCCCAUCUGCAGAUAAACAAAAUGUGGUAUAUACAUACAAUAGAAUAUAAUUCCAUCUUUUUAAAAGGAAGGAAAUUCUUUUUUUUUUCUUUGAGACAGGGUAUCAUUCUUUCCCCAGGCUGGAGUGCAGGGGCAUGAUCAUGGCUCACUGCAGGCUCAAUCUCCUGGGCUCAAGCCUUUUUAAUUUUCUUGUAGAGAUGGGGGUCUUGCAAUGUUACCCAGGCUGGUCUUCAACUCUCAGCCUCUCCAUCUUAGCCUCCCAAAGUGCCCGGGCGAAAGAAAUACUGCCACAUGCCAUGACACGGAUGAGCCAGAAAACACUACGCUAAGUGAAAGAAGCCAGUCAGUAAAGAAUAAUACUGAGCAAUUCCACUCUAUAAGGUGUCUAGAGUAGUAAAAUUCAUAGAGACAGAAAGUAAAUGGUGGUUGCCAGGCACUGGGGGAAAGGGGAAAUGGGAGUUACUGUUUAAUGUGUCAGUAUUUCCGUUUUGCAAGUUGAAAAGAUUCUGGAGCUGGAGGGUAGUGAUUGUUAUAUAACAAUGUGAAUGUACUCACUGCCACUGAACUGUACAUUUAAAAAUGGUUAAGAUGGUAAAUAUUAUGUUGUGUAUUUUAUCACAAUUUUAAAAAAAAUUAAGAAAAUCAAGAUGAUAUCAAAUCACAGUUAAAUAUGAGUUUCAGAAAUAGCUUGUUCGGUUUGUGUUGCUACAAAGAGCCCCAUGUGAGUGAAAUACUUCUAAGUGUACAGAUUACAUCCUUUGGAAAAAUGAGCAAGUAAAUUCACAAGUAAUUUUGCAUCUGUAUUCUCAAACAAUGUGACCGCACUGCCUUAGUUGCCUGUUUUUCUUUCAAACUAUUCAUUUACAAGAUCACUCAAGAAAUGUUACUCAGCUAAGUGGGAGGCUAUGACUGGAAAACCUGUUCUGCCUUAACCCUGGCCUGGGGGAUGCUUUGAAAAAUGGCUGUGGUGCAUGGAGCACUCUAAGGAAAACACUGAGGGGUGUUAUCAUCCUGUCUUAAGGCACUGUGAUCUGUGCAGAGCUCUGCCCUGGGGCAGCUGGGCAAAGAGCAGGUGCAUCCAAGGCUUGGCCUGUGGCCUGGAUGACGUGGAACCCCCGUUACAAUAGCCUGCAACAGCACAGGAGUAGUGGCUGUCGGGGGAGCUUCAUCUGAACCCAAGCUGGUGAACGGGGCUUUGCCCCUCUGUUUUAUUUAUCUUUAAUUGAUUUUCUUUAACACUAGGUUUUCUUCAGGCCUCACAUUUAAUAAGAUGGAGUAUUUUUCUGAUGAGUGAUUAUGUGGCCCCUGGUGUAAAGAGAUUGCCUGAGAGGAGCCUGGCAGAACUGUAGUGAAAGCAUGGGGAAGUGUGGUGAAAACUGGAUGCAAGGAGAACAAAUGGAAAAUAAAGGCAGCUUAUAAGGUUAAAUCACUUGGCCAAGUAUACAAAACUAGAGGUUGUCCAAUCUGGAACCAGAAGCCUGAUCUCCUGGGACACAAGCUGAAGAGCAGGUGAGGAUGAAAUGAUGUGGAACCAAUGGCAUAGCUGAGACUUCAGGAAAGGAAAAUUCUUUGAGCCUUAUCUUCCUCGUCCAUAAAAUGAGGGAAGUAACAAUUAAAUAAUCACUAAAUUUCCUUUCAGCUCUAACCUUUUCUAAAUGCAAGCUGGAUAAAUUGAUACAACCUGGCAGCUGUUGUCAUAUUGCUAUAG
Molecule: long non-coding RNA, 3858 nt
Filed under: Homo sapiens (human)
Lineage: Eukaryota; Metazoa; Chordata; Mammalia; Primates; Hominidae
Description: HSALNT0046278
Source: RNAcentral